Molecule: ribosomal RNA, 377 nt
Filed under: uncultured organism
Description: partial 16S ribosomal RNA
Rfam family: Bacterial small subunit ribosomal RNA
Source: RNAcentral
GUAGGUGGCAAGCGUUGUCCGGAAUUAUUGGGGCGUAAAGCGCGCGCAGGCGGUUCGUUUAAGUCUGAUGUGAAAGCCCGCGGGCUCAACCGUGGAGGGUCAUUGGAAACUGGAGAACUUGAGUACAGAAGAGGAAAGCGGAAUUCCACGUGUAGCGGUGAAAUGCGUAGAGAUGUGGAGGAACACCAGUGGCGAAGGCGGCGUUUCUGGUCUGUAACUGACGCUGAGGCGCGAAAGCGUGGGGAGCAGACAGGAUUAGAUACCCUGGUAGUCCACGCCGUAAACGAUGAGUGCUAAGUGUUAGGGGGUUUCCGCCCCUUAGUGCUGCAGCUAACGCAUUAAGCACUCCGCCUGGGGAGUACGGCCGCAAAGGCUGA